RNAcentral lists this ribosomal RNA (335 nucleotides) under uncultured Planctomycetales bacterium. RNAcentral's name for it is "bacterial SSU rRNA". It matches the Rfam family "Bacterial small subunit ribosomal RNA", at positions 473 to 806 of the family's 1533-position model. Lineage: Bacteria; Pseudomonadati; Planctomycetota; Planctomycetia; Planctomycetales. The record is from RNAcentral.
CAAAAGCUCCAAAGGAAGCCACGGCUAACUCUGUGCCAGCAGCCGCGGUAAUACAGAGGUGGCAAGCGUUGUUCGGAAUUAUUGGGCGUAAAGAGCACGUAGGUGGAUUUGUUAGUCAGAUGUGAAAGCCUUCUGUUCAACGGGAGAAUUGCAUCUGAAACUACAAACCUUGAGUGUAGGAGGGGAGAGUGGAACUUCUGGUGGAGCGGUGAAAUGCGUAGAUAUCAGAAGGAACGCCGGCGGCGAAAGCGACUCUCUGGUCUAUAACUGACACUGAGUGUGCGAAAGCUAGGGGAGCAAACGGGAUUAGAUACCCCGGUAGUCCUAGCCGUAAA